CCUACGGGUGGCAGCAGUGAGGAAUAUUGGUCAAUGGGCGGAAGCCUGAACCAGCCAAGUCGCGUGAGGGAAUAAGGCCCUACGGGUCGUAAACCUCUUUUGCCGGGGAGCAAGUGCCGGGACGCGUCCCGGCCCGGAGAGUACCCGGAGAAAAAGCAUCGGCUAACUCCGUGCCAGCAGCCGCGGUAAUACGGGGGAUGCGAGCGUUAUCCGGAUUUAUGGGGCGUAAAGGGUGGGUAGAGGGCAUAGGAAGUCUGUUGUAAAAAUGCGGGGCUCAACCCAGUAGGGCAAAAGAUACUGGAAGGCUAGAGUAUGACAGAGGCAGGUGGAACGACAUGUGUAGCGGUGAAAUGCGUAAAUAUUUGUAAGAACACCAGUGGCGAAGGCGGCUUGCUGGGUCGAUACUGACAUUGAGGCACGAAAGCGUGGGGAGCAAACAGGAUUAGAUACCCGAGUAGUC
Molecule: ribosomal RNA, 460 nt
Filed under: uncultured bacterium
Lineage: Bacteria
Description: partial 16S ribosomal RNA
Rfam family: Bacterial small subunit ribosomal RNA
Source: RNAcentral